Long non-coding RNA from Paralichthys olivaceus (Japanese flounder), 498 nucleotides. RefSeq lists it as uncharacterized. The record is from RefSeq and is a predicted model, not a curated record. Lineage: Eukaryota; Metazoa; Chordata; Actinopteri; Pleuronectiformes; Paralichthyidae.
GAGCAGGAAGUGCUGGGCAGUUCUCUCUCAAACACUGUCCUGCAUGGUGGGUCAAAGGAGCACAUGGUCCAUGUGUGGAGACCCAGUCAAAUCCUGCAGACGCCUGAUUGUGCCGGUGACACAAUGUCGACCUUGGUUGUCACUAAGCUGGACCGAGACAGACUGGAGGGUGGAGAUGAAUUGCUGCAGGGAUCCUGAGUGUUCAGCAGUGAUCUGUAGUGCAAAGACAGGAUUACAGACGAGGACACGGUGACAUUAUUGUAGAGGUUGGCCCAGACAGACACGUAACAGUGUCCCAUGAGAGAGGGUCUCACCAGCCUCAUGAGUCUGACGUCUCCAGCCGAGCCAAAGUACUCACCAUAUGUUGCCUGAAGCAUCAGUGACCAGUUACUGCAGCAUGAGUGAUCUAAGGACGGGCGUGGGAAAUGAAUAGUUGCUACAAAUUCUGAAAUGCAUUGCAAUUCUCUUUGUAUUGUAUCUCUCCUUAUUAAAUAAACA